This 429-nucleotide ribosomal RNA is filed under the name Pseudomonadota bacterium. RNAcentral's name for it is "Proteobacteria bacterium partial 16S ribosomal RNA". It matches the Rfam family "Bacterial small subunit ribosomal RNA", at positions 355 to 776 of the family's 1533-position model. Lineage: Bacteria; Pseudomonadati; Pseudomonadota. The record is from RNAcentral.
UGGGGAAUAUUGGACAAUGGGCGAAAGCCUGAUCCAGCCAUGCCGCGUGUGUGAAGAAGGUCUUCGGAUUGUAAAGCACUUUAAGUUGGGAGGAAGGGCAGUAAGCGAAUACCUUGCUGUUUUGACGUUACCGACAGAAUAAGCACCGGCUAACUCUGUGCCAGCAGCCGCGGUAAUACAGAGGGUGCAAGCGUUAAUCGGAAUUACUGGGCGUAAAGCGCGCGUAGGUGGUUCGUUAAGUUGAAUGUGAAAGCCCCGGGCUCAACCUUGGAACUGCAUCCGUAACUGGCGAGCUAGAGUAGGGCAGAGGGUGGUGGAAUUUCCUGUGUAGCGGUGAAAUGCGUAGAUAUAGGAAGGAACACCAGUGGCGAAGGCGACCACCUGUGCUCAUACUGACACUGAGGUGCGAAAGCGUGGGGAGCAAACAGG